GCUACGGGGGGCAGCAGUGGGGAAUAUUGGACAAUGGGGGAAACCCUGAUCCAGCGACGCCGCGUGAGUGAAGAAGUAUUUCGGUACGGAAAGCUCUAUCAGCAGGAAAGAAAAUGACGGUACCUGACUAAGAAGCCCCGGCGAACGCCGUGCCAGCAGCCGCGGUAAGACGGAGGGGGCAAGAGUUAUCCGGAUUUACAGGGUGUAAAGGGAGCUUAGACGGGAGCGCAAGUCUGGCGGGAACUGCAGGGGCCCCACCCCGGAACUGCUCUGGAAACUGUGAAGCUGGAGUGCAGGAGAGGUAAGCUGAAUUCCUGGUGUAGCGGUGAACUGCGUAGUUAUCAGGCGGAACACCGGCGGCGAAGGCGGCUUACUGGACUGUCCCUGACGUUGAGGCUCGAAGUCGUGGGGAGCAAACAGGAUUAGCUACCCUGGUAGUC
Molecule: ribosomal RNA, 440 nt
Filed under: uncultured bacterium
Lineage: Bacteria
Description: partial 16S ribosomal RNA
Rfam family: Bacterial small subunit ribosomal RNA
Source: RNAcentral